RNAcentral lists this ribosomal RNA (2455 nucleotides) under Candidatus Atribacteria bacterium. Its description in RNAcentral is "23S ribosomal RNA". It matches the Rfam family "Bacterial large subunit ribosomal RNA", at positions 1 to 2518 of the family's 2925-position model. The record is from RNAcentral. Lineage: Bacteria; Pseudomonadati; Atribacterota; Atribacteria.
UAUAAGUAUACAAAGGAACUAUUAUGGAUAUUUAAGCUGUGUAUAACAGAGAAUUAAUUUAUAAAAAAUAUUAACUCUAAGAGAAAUUCUUUAGUAAACGAAGUGAAUUGAAAUAUCUUAGUAACUUCAGGAAAAUAAAUCAAAAGAGAUUCUAUGAGUAGUGUGAAUGAAAAUAGAGAAGCCUAAUACAAUAAAGUAAAAUAUAGUUUGAAUUCUAUGGGGAACCUUCCUCAAAGGCUAAAUAUUAUACAUAAGCGAUAGAGAACAUAAGUACCGUGAGGGAAAUAAUAAUUAGAAAUAGUAGUUUUAUAAGCAGUUCAAGUAAUUUAAUAAAAAUACGAACGUACCUUGUGCAUAAGGGGUCACCAAGUUAACAUUAGAUACGAGUACCAGCGUAGUUAAACCAAUCAUCAAAAAAAUGAUAAGUAUCUAACGUUAGACCCGAAGCCUAGUGAUCUUACCUUAAUCAGGAUGUAAACAGUCCGAACGGUAUAUCGUUGCAUAGAUACCCGAAGAAUUAAGGUAAGUUUAGUGAAAGACAAAACUGACUAGGAUAGCUGGUUUUCUGCGAAACCUAUAAAAGUAGGCAAUUCAAAUAACAUCAUAGCAGGUACAGAACUUAAUCUCAGACAAGGUGUAAAAUUUUAAUUUAAAAUACAUUAUGACUUGUAUAUAUCGGGGGAUCGUGAAGAUUUUAUCGGUGAGUAUGUAGACUCGAAAUGGCAAAGAUGAAUGUUGAAUUAUCAGACAUAGAGUGCUAAGGUUGUAUGUCAAAAGGGAAACAGCCCAGAACAAGAUUUAAGGUUCCAAAAUUAUUAGUUAAGUGAAAUUAAGAAGGUAUUUAUUUGAGUCGACAAGAAGAUGGGCUUAGAAGCAGCCAUAAUUUUAUGAAUUCGUAACAGAGCGCUUGUUAAUUUAUAGAUGCAUCGAAAAUUUAACGGAUCUAAACAAUAUACCGACAUCUUGUCCAUUUUUAACAGUGAUGAAAUAUAUUACUGUUAUUAAAUGGGGUAGCAGAACGUUGAGUUUAUAUAAGAUUUAUCUUUUUUUAAGAUAAAUAUAUUAAGAUAACUCAAGUGAGAAUGGUGACAUUAGUAACUAAAAGAAGAGUUCUAUUAUUCUUCCCACUAGGAAUUUUCCUUCUAGGGAGGUUUCCUUUUGGAGGGGAAUGUUAGGAUUCUCCGCCUUAAGCUUAUGGGUUUUUAAGUAACGGCCUCUAAAUCUAAGUCGAAAGAUGCGGAUGAUGAGCAAAUCUUUAUUACUAAACAACAUUUAAAGUGUUAAAUGUGCUGGAAAAGAAGUAAUAUUAUAACAACCGUACCUAGAAACUAAAAAAAGUAAGCUAAUAGAGUAUACGAAGGCGUAUAAUGAGCUAACAAUCAUAAAGGAACUCGGCAAAAUGACUACGUAACUUCGGGAUAAGGAGAUCUCAUUAAUCUUGAUUAAUAUCAAGUAAAAAGGAAGAAGCAUGAAAUAGUGUUGUACGACUGUUUAAUUAAAACACAGCACUUUGCUCAAAGAUUAAAAAUCUAAGUAUUGAGUGUGAUGUCUGCCCAAUCCCGGCUGGUUAACAGAUAUAACUAAAUUUUUUAAGAGAGUUUGGUGUUGACGGAACCCCCGGUCAAUGGCGGCCUUAACGUGAGGGUCCUAAGGUAGCGAAAUGCCUUGGCCGUUAAAUGCGGUCUUGCAUGAAUGAUUUAACGAUACAACAGCUGUCUCUAUGAUUGACUCAGUGAACUUGGAAUAGCUGUGAAGAUACAGUUUACCUCUAGUUGGACGAGAAGACCCUAUGCAGCUUUACUGUUACUAAUUAUAGGGUACGGAAACAAAUAUAUAAGGUACAUUAGUUAAUAAGCAUGGAAAUCCUUUAUAUUUCUUCCGUAUCUAUGAACUAAUUCACAGAUAUUCGGAAACGAAUGUGGUGAAUUAAGCUAGUUCAUCUUGACUUGUCAAGAUUAAGCCUUAGGUAAGGAACUUAUCGUUAGGAGACAGUUUAUGCGGGGCACAGACCCCAUAAAGAGUAAAUGGGAGUGUCUAAUAUUAACAAUGUAUGAGUGCAAUUUGUGUUCAUUAAAAUAUUGUUUGUAACAUUAUACAGUUUUACUGUAUUUUAUCUUAUAAAAUUAUUUGUUUAAUCUGCACGAUCAGAUAUAUGAAUAAUACAGUUUAGAUAGAUUCAGGUACGAUUUAAUCUAACGAGAGAUUAGAGGUAAUAAAAAUCAUUAUGAAUCUUUCUAAUGUUUUUGUAGUUAUUAUAUUUAAUAAUAAUGUUGACUAUUACUUAAUAGGCUUAACGGCUAAAUCGUGCCUUACUGUUUGAUUAACAACAAAUCUUACAGUUGCGUAAGCAGGGCGUAGGAUCACAAGAUGCAAAAAGGAAAGAUCUUGGAUUAUAGGAAAAGCUACGCUAGGGAUGUUUGUCCUUUAAUAAUUAUAUAAUAUAAUUAUUAAUAAU